GAUGAACGCUGGCGGCGUGCCUAAUACAUGCAAGUCGAGCGAACAGACGAGGAGCUUGCUCCUCUGACGUUAGCGGCGGACGGGUGAGUAACACGUGGAUAACCUACCUAUAAGACUGGGAUCACUUCGGGAAACCGGAGCUAAUACCGGAUAAUAUAUUGAACCGCAUGGUUCAAUAGUGAAAGACGGUUUUGCUGUCACUUAUAGAUGGAUCCGCGCCGCAUUAGCUAGUUGGUAAGGUAACGGCUUACCAAGGCAACGAUGCGUAGCCGACCUGAUAGGGUGAUCGGCCACACUGGAACUGAGACACGGUCCAGACUCCUACGGGAGGCAGCAGUAGGGAAUCUUCCGCAAUGGGCGAAAGCCUGACGGAGCAACGCCGCGUGAGUGAUGAAGGUCUUCGGAUCGUAAAACUCUGUUAUUAGGGAAGAACAAAUGUGUAAGUAACUAUGCACGUCUUGACGGUACCUAAUCAGAAAGCCACGGCUAACUACGUG
RNAcentral lists this ribosomal RNA (497 nucleotides) under uncultured bacterium. Its description in RNAcentral is "partial 16S ribosomal RNA". It matches the Rfam family "Bacterial small subunit ribosomal RNA", at positions 28 to 507 of the family's 1533-position model. The record is from RNAcentral.